This 869-nucleotide ribosomal RNA is filed under the name uncultured bacterium. RNAcentral's name for it is "bacterial SSU rRNA". It matches the Rfam family "Bacterial small subunit ribosomal RNA", at positions 28 to 885 of the family's 1533-position model. The record is from RNAcentral.
GACGAACGCUGGCGGCGUGCUUAACACAUGCAAGUCGAGCGAGAACCCAGGCUUCGGUCUGGGGGAAAGCGGCGAACGGGUGAGUAACACGUGGGUAAUCUGCCCUCGACAUCGGGAUAGCCCGGGGAAACCCGGAUUAAUACCGAAUGGCCCAUCAGCUUUUCGAAGCGGAUGGAAAAGGUAGCUUCGGCCUCCGGUCGAGGAGGAGCCCGCGGCGGAUUAGCUUGUUGGUGAGGUAACGGCUCACCAAGGCUUCGAUCCGUAGCUGGUCUGAGAGGACGAUCAGCCACACUGGGACUGAGACACGGCCCAGACUCCUACGGGAGGCAGCAGUGGGGAAUCUUGCGCAAUGGGCGAAAGCCUGACGCAGCGACGCCGCGUGAGGGAAGAAGGCCUUCGGGUUGUAAACCUCUUUCAGGAGGGACGAAGCCACUCGGGUUAAUAGCCCAGAGGGUGACGGUACCUCCAGAAGAAGCCCCGGCUAACUACGUGCCAGCAGCCGCGGUAAUACGUAGGGGGCUAGCGUUGUCCGGAUUUACUGGGCGUAAAGAGCGCGCAGGCGGUCGUUCAAGUCGCGUGUGAAAGCCCCCGGCUCAACUGGGGAGGGUCACGCGAUACUGAUCGACUCGAAGGCAGGAGAGGGAAGUGGAAUUCNCGGUGUAGUGGUGAAAUGCGUAGAUAUCGGGAGGAACACCAGUGGCGAAGGCGACUUCCUGGCCUGUUCUUGACGCUGAGCGCGAAAGCUAGGGGAGCGAACAGGAUUAGAUACCCUGGUAGUCCACGCCGUAACGGUGGGUGCUAGGUGUGGGGGANUUCCACGUCCUCCGUGCCGCAGCUAACGCAUUAAGCACCCCGCCUGGGGAGUACGG